GACGAACGCUGGCGGCGUGCUUAACACAUGCAAGUCGAACGGAAAGGCCCUGAUCUUGCGGGGUGCUCGUGUGGCGAACGGGUGAGUAACACGCGUGUAACCUGUCCCUGACUUUGGGAUAUCUUCAGGAAACUGGGGCUAUUAUCGGAUAUGAGCUCCUGCUGCACGGUGGGGGUUGGAGAGAUUCGGCGGUUGGGGAUGGACUCGCGGCUUAUGAGCUUGUUGGUGGGGUAGGGGCUUACCAAGGCUUUGACGGGUAGCCGGCCUGAGAGGGUGACCGGCCACCAUGGGACUGAGAUACGGACCAGACUCCUACGGGAGGCAGCAGGGGGGAAUAUUGCACAAUGGGCGGAAGCCUGAUGCAGCAACGCCGCGUGCGGGAUGACGGCCUUCGGGUUGUAAACCGAUUUCGCCUGUGACGAAGCGAGAGUGACGGUAAUGGGUAAAAAAGCACCGGCUAACUACGUG
Molecule: ribosomal RNA, 468 nt
Filed under: uncultured bacterium
Lineage: Bacteria
Description: partial 16S ribosomal RNA
Rfam family: Bacterial small subunit ribosomal RNA
Source: RNAcentral